Molecule: ribosomal RNA, 119 nt
Filed under: Pteropus alecto (black flying fox)
Lineage: Eukaryota; Metazoa; Chordata; Mammalia; Chiroptera; Pteropodidae
Source: RNAcentral
ACAUACAGCCAUACUACCCUGAACAAGCCCAAUCCCAUCUGAUCUCGGAAGCUAAGCAGAGUUAGGCAUGGUUAGUACUUGGAUGGGAGACCACCGAGGAAGACCAGGUGCUGUAGGCA